GCAGUGGGGAAUAUUGCACAAUGGGCGCAAGCCUGAUGCAGCGACGCCGCGUGAGGGAUGAAGGCCUUCGGGUUGUAAACCUCUUUCAGUAGGGAAGAAGCGAAAGUGACGGUACCUGCAGAAGAAGCGCCGGCUAACUACGUGCCAGCAGCCGCGGUAAUACGUAGGGCGCAAGCGUUAUCCGGAAUUAUUGGGCGUAAAGAGCUCGUAGGCGGUUUGUCGCGUCUGCCGUGAAAGUCCGGGGCUUAACUCCGGAUCUGCGGUGGG
RNAcentral lists this ribosomal RNA (267 nucleotides) under uncultured bacterium. Its description in RNAcentral is "partial 16S ribosomal RNA". It matches the Rfam family "Bacterial small subunit ribosomal RNA", at positions 351 to 630 of the family's 1533-position model. The record is from RNAcentral.